UUUUUUUUCUACUUGUGUUUUAUUAAUUAAGGGUUUGGAUUCUGAAUUCAAAUUGGGCUGAUUAACUAUUUGUGGGCCUAUUGGGCUAUGGGGGCAGGAACUCAGUCUCAGCCCAUUGAGCGAACAUUGUGCUGUUAAGGAGUCAUCCUCUGUUUUCGGUCCUACCUUGGCUAGGGUUCCAUAAUCGACAAUUGUGAAGCACUGUUUUGUUCAUCAUCUGCAUUUGGAGUUGUAACCUUCCAUCGUUCGUAUCUCUCUUCCACCACAACUGCGCCGACAUCACUCAAUCUAAUGGCACCUCCUCCAGGACCUUAUUCCGGUGCCAGCACCCUAGCUUUGGUCGCUAGAGCUUCCGCUUUCUCCUUCGGUGUUGUUUAUGGAAGCAUCAAGCUCAAGUACCUUAAGGCAAAAGCCAAGUCUCAUAAAAAAGCUCAGGAGAAGGCUCAUCACUGAAAAAGAGAGAGAUGCCUGGGUUGUUAUCUUUCUGAGGAUGGAGUAGAUAACUGAAAUAAUUCAUGACAACAAACUGUACCAUGUCUUCUCCCAUUUUUUUUUCUGGUUUAAGCUUUGGACAAUCUUGAAGCAUUGAGUUUAAUGCAUUAUGAAAAUAUUCAAUAUUUUGCCUUGUUAUAAUAAAUACGAUGU
This 645-nucleotide small RNA is filed under the name Vigna angularis var. angularis. Its description in RNAcentral is "Non-protein coding transcript". The record is from RNAcentral. Lineage: Eukaryota; Viridiplantae; Streptophyta; Magnoliopsida; Fabales; Fabaceae.